AUGUCUUUGGAUGCUCAGCGUAGCUGGAUGUAUAGUGGGUGGAAGGAUACAAACACUUAUGUAUAUGCUAUUGUUAUGUUUUAUCAUGAUUGUCUAGUUGAUUAUAAACUGUUCUUUGCUAUCUUUAUCUUAUUUUUUUCAAGAAUCACACGUUACAAGAUGACAAUUGGAAGAAAAGCAUCUCGACUUGCUGUAGCCAUCAAACUAGCGCCUGUUGCUCGGAACACUACUGCUGCUGAUGGCACUUACGAUGGGUAUGUAAGAGGAGUUUCAGAUCUUCCUCCUGCUAUUCCAAAUAAUGAAGACCGUCCAAUCAUUCGACCCUUUGGCAAGACGCAUUGGAAGGACAUUCUCGUUGUUCGAAAGGGCAGGCGACCAGCAAGUGUAUUAACAUGCCUUUUGAAAAGUAACCAUCCAGGUAUUCUGGAUUAUGAUGGUGUGAAGGUGAUUGCAACGGAGUGGGAGCAUUAA
RNAcentral lists this ribosomal RNA (471 nucleotides) under Triticum aestivum (bread wheat). Its description in RNAcentral is "partial small subunit ribosomal RNA". Lineage: Eukaryota; Viridiplantae; Streptophyta; Magnoliopsida; Poales; Poaceae. The record is from RNAcentral.